This 409-nucleotide ribosomal RNA is filed under the name uncultured microorganism. Its description in RNAcentral is "bacterial SSU rRNA". It matches the Rfam family "Bacterial small subunit ribosomal RNA", at positions 9 to 404 of the family's 1533-position model. The record is from RNAcentral.
GAGUUUGAUCGUGGCUCAGGAUGAACGCUGGCGGCGUGCCUAACACAUGCAAGUCGAACGAAGCAAUCGGGAUGAAGUUUUCGGAUGGAUUCCUGGUUGACUGAGUGGCGGACGGGUGAGUAACGCGUGGAUAACCUGCCUCACACUGGGGGAUAACAGUUAGAAAUGGCUGCUAAUACCGCAUAAGCGCACAGUACCGCAUGGUACGGUGUGAAAAACCCAGGUGGUGUGAGAUGGAUCCGCGUCUGAUUAGCCAGUUGGCGGGUAACGGCCCACCAAAGCGACGAUCAGUAGCCGACCUGAGAGGGUGACCGGCCACAUUGGGACUGAGACACGGCCCAAACUCCUACGGGAGCAGCAGUGGGGAAUAUUGCACAAUGGCGAAGCCUGAUGCAGCGACGCCGCGUGA